UACGGGGGGGGCAAGCGUUGUUCGGAAUUACUGGGCGUAAAGGGCUCGUAGGCGGCCAACUAAGUCAGACGUGAAAUCCCCAGGCUUAACCUGGGAACUGCGUCUGAUACUGGAUGGCUUGAGUUUGGGAGAGGGAUGCGGAAUUCCAGGUGUAGCGGUGAAAUGCGUAGAUAUCUGGAGGAACACCGGUGGCGAAGGCGGCAUCCUGGACCAAUACUGACGCUGAGGAGCGAAAGCCAGGGGAGCAAACGGG
Molecule: ribosomal RNA, 253 nt
Filed under: uncultured bacterium
Lineage: Bacteria
Description: partial 16S ribosomal RNA
Rfam family: Bacterial small subunit ribosomal RNA
Source: RNAcentral